AUACCCGUUGAUCCUGCGGGAGAUUGCUGCUAGGAGAAUUCGAUUUAGCCAUGCAAGUCCAGGGGGCCCUUGAGGUCACCGGCGAAAUGCUCAGUAACACGUCGCUAACUUGCCCUUUGGUCAGGGAUAGCCACGGGAAACUGUGGGUAAACCCUGAUAGGAAAUACCAUCUGGAAUGCGGUAUUUCUUAAACUCGUGCCAAAGGAUAGGGCGGCGGCCGAUUAGGUAGUUGGUGGGGUAACGGCCCACCAAGCCGAUGAUCGGUACGGGCCAUGGAAGUGGUAGCCCGGAGAGGGACACUGAGAUACUGGUCCCAGCCCUACGGGGUGCAGCAGGCGCGAAACCUUUACAAUGCACGAAAGUGUGAUAAGGGGAUUCUCCGUGCUCAUGCAUUGCAUGGGCUUUUGCAAAGCGUAAAUAGCUUUGCGAAUAAGUGGUGGGUAAGACUGGUGCCAGCCGCCGCGGUAACACCAGCGCCACGAGUGGCAAUCAGCAUUAUUGGGCCUAAAGCGUCCGUAGCCGGAUGUGCACAUCCCUUGUGAAAUCUCAGGGCUUAACCUUGAGGCGUGCAGGGGACACGGCACGUCUAGGGAGUGGGAGAAGUCAGAAGUAUUCGAAGGGGACCGGUAAAAUGGUAUAAUCCUUCGAAGACUACCGAUGGCGAAGGCAUCUGACUAGAACAUGUCCGACGGUGAGGGACGAAAGCCAGGGGAGCGAACCGGAUUAGAUACCCGAGUAGUCCUGGCCGUAAACGCUGCGAGCUAGGCGUUGCACUUCUCUUGAAGAGGUGCAGGGUCGAAGCGAAGGCGAUAAGCUCGCCGCCUGGGGAGUACGGUCGCAAGGCUGAAACUUAAAGGAAUUGGCGGGGGCGCACCACAAGGGGUGCGGCGUGCGGUUUAAUUGAAUUCAACACCGAGAAUCUCACUAGGGGCGACGGCAGGAUGAUGGUCAGUCUGAAGGGCUUACCGGACGAGCCGAGAGGUAGUGCAUGGCCGCCGCCAGCUCGUGUCGUAAGAUGUCCAGCUAAGCCUGGUAACGAGCGAGACCUGUAUCACUAAUUGCUAGCGGCCAAGCUUGCUUGGGACCGAGCACAUUAGUGAGACUGCCUUCGUAAGAAGGAGGAAGGUGCAGGCUACGGUAGGUCUGUAUGCUCCGAAUCUCCUAGGCUACACGCGCGCAACAAUGGUCGGGACAAUGGGCUGCGACACCGAAAGGUGAAGCUAAUCCUCGAAACCCGAUCCAAGUCUAGAUCGAGGCUUGUAACUCAGCCUCGUGACAUCGGAAUCCCUAGUAAUCGGAAGUUAUCAGCUUCCGGUGAAUAUGUCCCUGCGCCUUGCACACACCGCCCGUCAAACCAACCGAGCAGGGUCUGGGUAAAGCACAGCUUUUUUGGUUGUGCUGAACUUAGGCUCAGUUAGGUGGGUUAAGUCGUCACAAGGUAUCCGUAGGGGAACCUGCGGAUGGAUCACCUCCUAU
RNAcentral lists this ribosomal RNA (1476 nucleotides) under Bacteroidota bacterium. RNAcentral describes it as "bacterial SSU rRNA". It matches the Rfam family "Archaeal small subunit ribosomal RNA". The record is from RNAcentral. Lineage: Bacteria; Pseudomonadati; Bacteroidota.